This 726-nucleotide ribosomal RNA is filed under the name Triticum aestivum (bread wheat). RNAcentral's name for it is "partial small subunit ribosomal RNA". The record is from RNAcentral. Lineage: Eukaryota; Viridiplantae; Streptophyta; Magnoliopsida; Poales; Poaceae.
AUGGAGUCACCACGCCUCCAAAUGGAAAUGGACAAGUCAUGUCAAGACAACAACACCGUGAUAAGUGUUUCCUCCCGCGAGUCAUCAGGAAAUUAUUUCUCCCCUGAAGAAGAAUAUGGGGUACUUGAAGUGCCUGGUUCCGAUUUCAACGUCAGGAAGAAGAAGGCCAGGCUAUCUUCAAAUCAGAAGCAGCAGUUAAAGGAUGGUUACUUUACCGGCCAAAAGACCAAAUUGACUUCAACUCAGAAGGAAGCGGUGAAGCGGAUGGUCCGAUCCAUAUACUCAGAGAUCCCCAUCUUCGUUGUUGUGAUGCGCAAGUGCAACGUUGUUGCAGAAUUCUAUCUGGCUUUUCCUAGACACUAUGCUAAGAAAUAUCUCAGAGAGGAGCCGCAGUCUCUUCAGCGGCCGGGCCGCAUCGGGAUGUGGCCGGUGCGCUUUUGUGAAAACAAUGGCGGUAAAAGGCUCAAGAUUGGACGGAAACAGUUUGUAGAAGACACCAAGCUGGAGAUGGAUGACAUAUGCCUCUUUAAACUGUUGAGCACUGAGAGAACCAUGCAGGUCUAUAUCAUCCAAGCAAAUUAUCGGGCAGGUCCCCAGAAUGGCGCUGACCGGAGAGGGGCUCCGGCUCAUCGUGCUGAUGGAGCGUGUGAUCCUGGCUCAAGGUUGCUUCACAUCGCUAAAACUGAAGCUAUGGAGGAUGAUGUUGUUGGCCCUGAUGGUGCCUGA